AGAGUUUGAUCCUGGCUCAGAACGAACGCUGGCGGCGCGCCUAAUACAUGCAAGUCGAGCGAGAAGACGUAGCAAUACGUUUGUAAAGCGGCGAACGGGUGAGGAAUACAUGGGUAACCUACCCUUGAGUGGGGAAUAACUAGCCGAAAGGUUAGCUAAUACCGCGUACGCUCCUUGGACUUCGGUUCAGGGAGGAAAGCGAUACCGUGGGUAUCGCGCUCUUGGAUGGGCUCAUGUCCUAUCAGCUUGUUGGUGAGGUAACGGCUCACCAAGGCUUCGACGGGUAGCUGGUCUGAGAGGACGAUCAGCCACACUGGCACUGCGACACGGGCCAGACUCCUACGGGAGGCAGCAGUAAGGAAUAUUGCGCAAUGGGCGAAAGCCUGACGCAGCGACGCCGCGUGGGGGAUGAAGGUCUUCGGAUUGUAAACCCCUUUCGGGAGGGAAGAUGGAACGAGCAAUCGUUCGGACGGUACCUCCAGAAGCAGCCACGGCUAACUUCGUGCCAGCAGCCGCGGUAAUACGAAGGUGGCAAGCGUUGUUCGGAUUUACUGGGCGUACAGGGAGCGUAGGCGGUUCGGUAAGCCCUUUGUGAAAUCUCCAGGCUUAACCUGGAACAGUCGGAGGGGACUGCUGGGCUAGAGGACGGGAGAGGAGCGCGGAAUUCCCGGUGUAGCGGUGAAAUGCGUAGAGAUCGGGAGGAAGGCCGGUGGCGAAGGCGGCGCUCUGGAACGUUUCUGACGCUGAGGCUCGAAAGCGUGGGGAGCAAACAGGAUUAGAUACCCUGGUAGUCCACGCCUUAAACUAUGAAUACUAAG
This 818-nucleotide ribosomal RNA is filed under the name uncultured Nitrospira sp. RNAcentral describes it as "bacterial SSU rRNA". It matches the Rfam family "Bacterial small subunit ribosomal RNA", at positions 8 to 820 of the family's 1533-position model. The record is from RNAcentral. Lineage: Bacteria; Pseudomonadati; Nitrospirota; Nitrospiria; Nitrospirales; Nitrospiraceae.